This 2997-nucleotide long non-coding RNA is filed under the name Cinara cedri. Lineage: Eukaryota; Metazoa; Arthropoda; Insecta; Hemiptera; Aphididae. The record is from RNAcentral.
ACCGCCCCGAAACGACUGUUCGGGGACCCGGCUACGUGCCUCGUGGAACGGCACGGAAUGGCAACGAGGUCAGUUUUAUACGCGCGCACGUGUGUGUGUGUGUGUGUAUGUGUGUGUGUGUGUGUGUGUGUGUAUGUGUGUGGUUGGCUUAAAGUCCACCGCCGAGCAGACAAACGAUUUUCUUAAAUCCCAUUCGAAAACCGAAGAAAAAAAUAAUACGAAUACAAAUUACUUUCGGGCACUGAAUCGUCCGCGUACAUUACUACUGGCGAGAAUUCACCCCGUGUUUUUGCGGCGGAAAAACCGUAACUGUAGGGGUAUAGAGGAGGGGGAAGGGGUGGGAAUCAUUCAAUUUAGCGAUCGCGUAAAGGGCGUGAAAUUCAUUUUCGGGUUUCACUCGGUUUGUUUUUCGUCGUUUUUGGUCGGUCGAAUUGUCGGUUUUUACAACAGAUUAUCGUCCCGAUAGACAAUUAUUCCAUAAAAGAUAUUGGGGCCGCAGUGGCGUCGCGAACGGACGACCUACGAAGCAGCCGAUUUGUGACGGGGAAUUAUACGGAAACGUCUGUAUAGUCACAUCCAGACGCCUGAUUGUUCCGUGCUUGGGUUUUUUGCGAUUUUGCCGAAACUCGUGGAAAGAUAACUCCGCGCCGCCACUGACACGAAGCCACUCUAUAAUAUUAUUAUAUUUAUUACAUAGUUUCGUGUCAACCACGUGUUCGACGAUAAUAAUCGCCAGACAUUGUAUUUUUACCACUCUGUCGUUCAAAUAAUUUUAGUUUUAGUUUUUUUUUUUUUUUUAUUGUGACUGUUCGUAAUAUGUGCGUGUAUUUGUAAUUCGCCAUUUAAUGGUUAUAUUUUUUUUCAUCUUCGCUCAACUCGGUACGCGGUAACGCGAGUGUGAUUUGGAUACACGUAUACUGCAGGUAUGCACGGUAAAAUAUUCAAAUUUCGCAGAUAAAUCCCGAGAAAACUAUACACGGGCGUAUAGAAGAACAAAAGAUACGAAAUCUGCACACUUCGCGAUGGUGUCAAUAGUUUGAAUUUUCUAAAAAAUUUAUAAAUUCAACGAGAUCAUAUCUGCGGGUUAUAUAUAAUUAUGUAUUGGUGUGACAGUGGCGACGGAUGCGGAUGAAUUUAGUAACCUAUACCCAUUUGAAUAGAAUACGUAAUGUUUUUUUUUUUUUUUUAUAUAUAUAAUUUUUAUCUUCGUAGCCGGGGAGGUGAAUUGAUUUGAAUUUUUAGUUUUUACUAAGUACGCCCCUUGUGUCUUUUCAGUAACUCUCGCGAAACGACGUCAAUGCGACACGUAUCGUUUUCGCACCAUUCGAAAUGAUUUUAUUUUAAUAUCGUAACCGUACGCUAUAAUUACCAUACCAACACACGAGUAACAUAAUAUUAUAUUACGAGUAACUGUUGACCGACGAUCGUUUAAUAGGUGUAUUCGGUAUAAUAAAAUGACGAAUAACAAUACGAAGAGUAUAGUAUACAGGUCAAUUAGAAAGUACUUUUCAGUUCGUACGUUUAUGUGCUGGUUUGAGUAGUCGCUGAAUAAUGUUCAGCUGCGGCCAACAAAAACGGACCGAUCAAAACACGUACGAUUCCCCGUUAUAAAUCCCAAAUUUUUUGUUUUUUUUGUCAAAUCAAAGUACCUCCCCGCACCUCCCCUUCUCUAUACGCGACGUCAGCUUUACAUCUUGUCCGUCCGGCAAUAUCUCCAGCUAAGAUUUUUCGAUCGUCUCUGACCGGUUCGAACUAAUCUAGUUGUGUGUCCGUUUCGUCAUACUGUUCGUGGAAUAAUAAUACAUCUCUGGCUGGUCGGCCUGCCCGUGUUGCGCAGCUCGUAAAACACCGAUAGAUUUAAAUAUUUAUGUGACGACGUUAUAUAAUAAUCGAUAAUAAUGUUUAUCAGUGGAAAAACGACCCGUUUCUAAUUUCUUAGUUUAAUUAACGAUCAAACAACGUUUUAAUUACAACACGUUGUUAUUAUUUAUUAUGGUACGAGAACCGAGAUAUUUACAAUAUUAUAAUACACAUGAUAUAUUAUGGGCGCACACGUUGUAUAAUACAAAUACAUUACAGAAAACACGAUAACGGUUUUUUUUUUUUUUUUUUUUAUCAGUACAUUUUGUAACGCGCGCACUGCGUUCGAUUAAUUUACUAAAUAACGUUUUAGAUCCCGAGUGUGCGGCAAAGAAGCUAUGUUUGUAUUCUAUAUUUUUUUUCCGCCGCGGACAACGCUUUUUUCGAUCAGUGAAAACGCUCGGAUUUUUCCACGCAGCGCCUUAAAAGACGCGGGAUUUCUUCCGGCCGGCGGUACUUUACACGAAAAAUUAUUCUAGAUUCACGACAGUUUAAAAAAAAACCCCGAUCACGACGUAUGACGACGUUGUAUCGGUUUUGUACAAUAUGGUCUAUGCCUGUGCUGCAGAUUUUUAGAUUCUAUUUAACCUCAUCGUUUUACCGAGCUUCGCUCGGAAUUGCUUUUCCAUGGCAACGCAUUGUUAAAAUACUAAAUUGUCCGAAAGCGUAUACCCGUAAUGUUCGGAAACGGUUAAAAAAAUAAUGUAUAUUUUAAUAUUGUACGAGAAUCUCACCGCGUUUUUCGUUUUUCGGCGUGCAAUUAUUUUUAUUUGUUACAGUUUCGUUGUUGAAUAUUAGAAUGCGAAAUUACAUUACGUUAGCCGUAUAUUUACUUAUUGUAAUAAUUGUACGAGUGGGUUUUUAGAUUUUGGUUUGGAGUUUGGCAGCUUUAUCAUUAUAGAAACACGUUAUUAAUGCACGUAUGAAAACAAAAAUAAUAGCUGCGAUUAAUGUUAGCUUUUACUUAAAUAAAAAAUUAACGCGCAUUUCGUACUUUUCUUUAAUAUUUUUAGUAUUAUUAUUUCGAUAACGACUGUUAUAUCCAUACACAAUACAAUAUGCGAGUUUGUACGCUUAGACACAAUAACAUUAUGCGUUUUAAACUCGUUGGAGAGAUAUGAAAAAACGUAAAAAAAA